AAGCAUGUUUCCAAGGUUUAUGGAUAUUCAUAGCCAUGGGAUCUCCAACUGCAUGCAAGAAUAACCUAAAAAGACUUUGACAGCACAGGUCAACAUAAUACCUGUAGCUGUCACUCAACUUUCCUAUAUUU
Molecule: small nucleolar RNA, 131 nt
Organism: Erinaceus europaeus (western European hedgehog)
Lineage: Eukaryota; Metazoa; Chordata; Mammalia; Eulipotyphla; Erinaceidae
Source: Ensembl